UAAGCAUAUCAAUAAGA
Molecule: small RNA, 17 nt
Filed under: Arabidopsis thaliana (thale cress)
Lineage: Eukaryota; Viridiplantae; Streptophyta; Magnoliopsida; Brassicales; Brassicaceae
Description: ATSL242090
Source: RNAcentral